Molecule: ribosomal RNA, 253 nt
Filed under: uncultured bacterium
Lineage: Bacteria
Description: partial 16S ribosomal RNA
Rfam family: Bacterial small subunit ribosomal RNA
Source: RNAcentral
UACGUAGGGGGCUAGCGUUGUCCGGAAUCAUUGGGCGUAAAGCGCGCGUAGGCGGACCUGCAAGUCAGAUGUGAAAUCUCGGGGCUCAACCUCGAAACUGCGUCUGAAACUACAGGUCUAGAAUCUUGGAGGGGGAAGGGGAAUUUCUCAUGUAGGGGUAAAAUCCGUAGAUAUGAGAAGGAACACCAGAGGCGAAGGCGCCUUCCUGGACAAGUAUUGACGCUGAGGCGCGAAAGCGUGGGGAUCAAACAGG